ACCCCGUUACUUGGAACUGUGGUAAUUCUAGAGCUAAUACAUGCCGACAGAGUUCCAACCAAACGCGCGGCUUCGGUCGUCGCGUUUAGGAAGGAACGCUUUUAUUAGAUCAAAACCGGCUAAGCGGCGGUUACCUCGUGUUUCCGCCGUUAGUGGCCUGCGCAAAGAUUUGGUGACUCUGAAUAACUUCGAGCUGAUCGCACGGUCUCGUACCGGCGACGUAUCUUUCAAAUGUCUGCCUUAUCAACUGUCGACGGUAGGUUCGACGCCUACCGUGGUGGUAACGGGUAACGGGGAAUCAGGGUUCGAUUCCGGAGAGGGAGCCUGAGAAACGGCUACCACAUCCAAGGAAGGCAGCAGGCGCGCAAAUUACCCACUCCCAGCUCGGGGAGGUAGUGACGAAAAAUAACGAUACGGGACUCAUUCGAGGCCCCGUAAUCGGAAUGGUACA
RNAcentral lists this ribosomal RNA (451 nucleotides) under Nipaecoccus viridis. RNAcentral describes it as "bacterial SSU rRNA". It matches the Rfam family "Eukaryotic small subunit ribosomal RNA", at positions 129 to 521 of the family's 1831-position model. Lineage: Eukaryota; Metazoa; Arthropoda; Insecta; Hemiptera; Pseudococcidae. The record is from RNAcentral.